Molecule: ribosomal RNA, 109 nt
Filed under: Geodermatophilus sp. Leaf369
Lineage: Bacteria; Bacillati; Actinomycetota; Actinomycetes; Geodermatophilales; Geodermatophilaceae
Source: RNAcentral
UACGGCGGUCAUGGCGAGAGGGAAACGCCCGGUCUCAUUCCGAACCCGGAAGCUAAGCCUCUCAGCGCCGAUGGUACUUCCCGAAACGGGGUCACAGCUACGGCUGUGG